AGAAAGAGGAAAUAGGUUUUUUUUUUUUACGUUACAACGUUUCAUCUCCUCACUCUCUCGUUCUCACGCCUCCCUCACAUUCAUGGAGAUUCCGCCGCGCCGGUAAUCCCCUACGGUGGCGGCGGUGAUCGAACUCUACGCUUCUCAGAUUCUCCCUCUCUCUUCCUAAUUUCGGAUUUAGUUUAACACGAUUCCUCAUAAUACGGAUCAAAAGCAAACCCUAGGCCUAACCAACGACGAGAUUAAAUGCAAACCACUGCGAAUCACAGAGCAAGACCAUGGGGGAAUCGUUCAAGGAGCUUAAUACUACACCACAACAUCAAAAACGCAGCAAGAGAUGAAGAAGGAGGAGUCGAUUUGAAGACUUACCUGGAUGACGAAGAUGGCGAAUCGUUGAGGAAAACCGGAGGGGAGAAUCAGAAGCUCUUCAGUGUGCGAAAUAAACGCAAUUGAGGAAAUUGAUGAAUUCUUCCGAGAUGGAUGUGAAUCGCGGCUUGAAGCUUCUACGUGGAGAAGAUGGAGUUGAUGAUUGAAGUUGCAAGAUAAUUGAAGAUUCAGUUAAACGAUGGUGAUUUGAUGAUGAGUUUCUGAAGUAUGAAGAUUGUGGAGUUUGUUGGUGAUUGUGCAGAGAAAUGGUGGAGUGGAGAUGAAGAUGAUGAAUUGAGAUUGAUGAGUAUGUGAAAAAUGGUUGGGGAAUGGAGAGAGUGAUGAGAAUGAGAAGAUGCAGAGAGGGAGAAGAGUGAUUGGAGAUGAAGAUGGUGAAUUUCAGAGGGAGAGUGAAUCGUGGAAUGUGUGAAGGUGAAGUGAAGAUUGAAGAAAUUGUGAAAAAAUGGUGGAGAGGAAAGUGAUGAAUGGAAGUUCUGAUUUAUAGAUAUUCUUCAGGUAAAUUCUCCCUCUGAAUUUUUCUGUUACUCUCUUCUGAUUUUCUGUUAUGACUCUGUUAGCUGUUAUGAAAUGUAACUGAUCUUUUGGUAGUUAGGAGUUUAUAACUGAUUCGGUUAUGUGUUAGAGGGUGGUUCUGGUAGUUAGACUGAUAACCGAUUCUAUUUUUCUGUUAUAGGUUAGAAAAGUUUGUUACAAAAAUAGGUUAGAAUUAGUUAGAAAUAGUUAGGUUGUUAGGAUAGGUUAGUUACCUGUAAAACUGAAAUUGGUUAGGAAGUGGUAGUUAGGGAAUUUAGUUAAAUUCUGUUAAUUGUGUGAAUUAGCUUGGAACUGUCAGUGAUUUUUUUCUGGUUUUUCUUAUUGGUUUUGUAAUGUGAUUGGUCAUUGUGUGGUUGAGUGUAUUGGAACUGGUUUUGUAUAGUUAUGUUUUGAAUGUGGCUGUUGUAGGUUUUUAUGUGAUAGUAAUAGGUGGUUAGAGAUGUUGGUUAAUGGAAUGCUGCUGGGUUGAUAAUUAGAACUGCUUGAAUGCCAUUUUUUGUUUUUUGGAAUGCUGCAGGGAUGUUUUUAAUAGCUGCUGUUGCUGAAGUAAUGUCGACUGUGAGUCAUUGAUGUUUGCUGUUGAUGAGACUGCAGCAAGUAUAUGGCAUUGGACUUGAAGGGUGAUGGAAUGGGAAGAAGGACUCUGCGGUUUAGACUUAGGCUUGUAUUAGUAAUAGGUUUUUGAACUGGUGUAUGUGGACCUGCUGUGUAUAAUAUGGUAUUUGAAAUGUGUGGACUUUGAUGUAAUGUGAAUGAUUGAAGUAUGAUAUGAAUUUUUUCGUAAUGGAUGCGUGUUUUGGACACUUGAAUGAUGAUGGUUGGUGGAUAAUGCUAGUAUUUGAACCAAUGAGCGUGUUUACAUUUUUUACAAUGACGAAUGACGUAGAAUAUAGAAUUUGGAUGAUGCAGAAAUAGUUUGAAUCUACCUUAAAUGAGGACCUAGAAACAAUAGUAAAAUUCCAACUCUUCGAAAUCCUUAAUCCACAAGAACAAUCGUAAACUCUUUAAGUUCCAGUUCAAAUCGCACAGGAGAACCAAAUGAAUCAGUCUUUGUUUGAUAUGUACACCUCAAAAUCAAUAUGAAACCUUAAUAAUCCAAAAUCCUUGAUCCCAAUGUCAAUUGUUGAUUAAUGAUGCAUGUGUUAUGUGAAAGACCUAAUGAAAGUAUGCGUAUGAAAUGUAAAGCUUACGCCAAUUAGGAUAAAAUCAGAUGGGCAAAUUUUGGGGUGCAACAGCUGCCCCUAUUUAAUCGUCUUAAUUCUGAAGGUGAGAUUGGCGCUAGCCUUUCGAACAUUCAAGGUAGAAGAUGAUUAAAUACCAAGUGAACCUGAAAAUUUGCUUGAAGGAAGAUGGAAUCCACUGGAGGAAAAGAUGGUGUCAACUCCAUUGAGGAAGAAUGUAUCAAUUCUGGAUUGAUCAAAUUAACUCUGAGUUAGAA
Vicia villosa (hairy vetch) is the source of this 2359-nucleotide long non-coding RNA. RefSeq lists it as uncharacterized. The transcript is spliced from 3 exons. NCBI's taxonomy places the organism in Eukaryota, Viridiplantae, Streptophyta, Magnoliopsida, Fabales, Fabaceae. The record is from RefSeq and is a predicted model, not a curated record.